UUGGGGGUUCCCUUCCCGCUGGGACGAGCCUCUGACUGGGCUGAACGAGAACAGCCGAGUGGAGGCGAACGACCGGGAGGAUUUCUACCGACUUAAGGACAUGUCGGUACCGAAGCAGAGGGAGCUUGUUACCGAACAAGCCCUCUAUGACGCCGGUCUGAGCCUGAUCCCCCAUCUAGGUACUGCUCGGCCCAUCAGUUGUCUUUUUGCUUCUCGUUUGUCCCCGAACACG
Molecule: long non-coding RNA, 232 nt
Filed under: Elaeis guineensis (African oil palm)
Lineage: Eukaryota; Viridiplantae; Streptophyta; Magnoliopsida; Arecales; Arecaceae
Description: long non-coding RNA (EGUI_LNC005279)
Source: RNAcentral